UCCCCUGGGAUCCUGUUCCCUGGGAUAGAGCUCGCCCUUUAGAAUUUGUAAAGGUUUGUUAAGGGAUGAAAUGCAGCGUGGGGUGCUUGGCUGUAAACCGUGUUCUCUGUGUUCUGUUACAUUACAGGGGGUUCGUGCAUAUUCAUGAGUUUAUACGCAUUCAAACAGUUCCUUUGAGUUUAGAUGUUCUUUUGCUCGGUUUUAACCUUUCACUUGUCUUCGUGCCACCGUGUAGAUUAAGCCAAUAUAUUUUAUUUCUCCCUGUGGUGCCGCCCUGUUUUGUUUUCACUCCCUCGUUAUUUGAUAACGAGGGUCAAUAAUUUUUUUUUUUUCGGUGCUCUGGUUUCUGUUUCAGUUACCUUGUGUUUCAGAUAAGGCAGUCCCCGAAUGGGGGAAAGCACCUGAUUAUUUUACACCACUUUCUGAGUUACUUACACGUGAAAGCAGUUUAACAUUUUACAGUCUAUUAUGCUACAGUCUGAAAGCAGGAUCUGUUACACUGCUGUUUAUAAAAGGUAUACAACGCAUACAUAAACUGGCAGAUUAUUCUUUAUCAAGAGCAGUAAUUACAGACGGUACUCUCUCAGGAUUUCUGUGCAGUAACAACUUGCCAGAGCUGAUGCAUAAAUGCCAAAGGCAAUAACUAUAUUUGUUAUUUGUAAUUCUGGGCUGAGCUCCGUUUUCCAGGAAAUGGGUGUCCCUGUGCCCACCCCGUGGGUCCCAGAGAGAAACUGCUCCUGUGCCUGAGGGCCAGUGGGAAAACCGGAACAGUCCUGAUGGAAACCGGUAGAAAAACUGGUUUGGCUGGGUUUUGGAGUUGGUGUUUUCCCCCUGACCCCGCCUGAUCCCUGUGUUUUGCCUUGGGAAACGGGAACUGGGGACCAAGAGGCUUUGUUACCCUAGAAGGGACGAGUUUCUUUGAUUGAACUCCUGACCCGCCUGGGAUGAUUUGGGUCUCAGGAGGCACCUGAGAGCCAAACUCAUUUCCUGUCAGGAGUCCCUGAGGAAUGAGGACACUGAGCUGCAGUGGCUGUUGUCUGGUCAGGCUCCUGGGCUCCCAUGUCUCCCAGCUCUGGGCACCCUCAAGGCAGGGCUGCUUUUUAAAUGUUUUAGAUGCUGCAGCAGCAGCAGCUCCCUCCCUAGUGUGAGGAUAUCCAGCUCUUCCUUCGGGCUUGGAGCAUGGCAGGGUGCAGAGCUCCUGGUCAGUCUUGUUUAAACACUUUUAAUACCAAAACACUUGAAACCAGAGACUUUGAGGAAAUAGCCUGUGAAAGUCUGUUGCAAGUGUUAGGUACAAGCUGUCUUUGUGAGAGAUCCACAUUGGUGGGUGCUUUGUCAAACCACUCUGGGGCCAGAAUGUGUCCAAAAAUCUUCAUUAACCCCUUGUGUUCUGCUGGCAGGGCAGCGUCUGAGCCCAGCUCUGGGGGCUGUGUGGGGAUUCCUCCCUGGAGCAGGGCCACCCCAGGGGGAUGAGCCACGGAGCCGUUGGGCCAGGACAGGAAAAAUCAUCAAACUCUGCACAUGCUUGCCAAAAGCUUCGGUGUUUAAGAGGCUUCAGCACCAGGGAUCUUUGCUGGAGGGCUCCUGGUCCUGCCCGUGCUGUGGGGCUGUCCCUGCUGUGCCCAAGGCCUGAGACACAGAGAGCCCUGUCCAAAGUGGCCUUUGCCAGCUUGUCAGGAACGUGGCAGCAGCCCCGGGAGCAGGCUGGAGGAGAAAACCUCACAGCAGAGGCAGUUUGCAGUGGAGGCCAGAGUUGUGUUUGGAGCAGAGAAUGCUGAGAGCUGCCACAGCCUGACCACAGCCACAUGGAACAGCCUGGGAAAAGGGGAUGGGGGAAAUUCCUGAUUCCCCAGUGAGAACACGAACUCACAGCCAUUGAGGCCUGACAGUCCCCUCCAGCAAGAGCUCAGCACACAUCCACAGAGCAGCUGGAGGGAAGAGAGAAGAGGAUCCUUGUGGGAUGAGACUGCAGAGAACAAGGAGAGGAGUGGCCUCGGGCUGGAGAAGGGCAAAGGGACCACUGUGCUGUCACCAGGACACCUGUGAGAGACAGAACAGACACUUGGAGGCCACAUGGAGGAAAGGGACACACAUCCCUGUCUUCAGUGCACCUCCAGUGGGACUCACCUGUGACAGCUUUCCAUGACUUCUGCACCUGCACCUCAGCUGGCUCCCUGAAAAACUCCAGACCUCAUCCCACUCAAACCUCGGAUUUUCAGGUAAUGCCAGCUACUCCUUGGAGUCCUUCUGGGCUGGAGCAUCUCCAUGUCCUGGUCAGAGCAGCCACGGUGCAGGCAGUGCCCUGCAGAUCCCAAGGACAAGAGGUGCUGCUGCCUUUCGGGGGCUCCUGGCCUCCCCCUGCCCUGAGGGGACAUUGCUGGCAGCGAGCAGGAGACACCAAGGCCUCUGGGCUGGAAAAACAGCCCUGGCCUCAGCAGCCACCAUCGAUUUGACCUGGCAGCACUCACCUGCAGGAAAUGCCCCCUGCCAUUCUCCAGAAGAGCUUCAGCCAUGGAGCAAGGUAACCCUGGGGACUCAUCUUGAUUGUUUCUCCCUGCAAAGGGAUGUGGUGUGACCACAUUUACAGCUGAGCAAAUCCUGGAAAGGGCAGAAAAAUCAGAGGUAUGGGGAAGAGCUUGGUGCUGUCACAUCAGGUGCCAGCAGUUCUGCCCUGCAGCCACUGCAGGGGCUGGUGUGUAAAGCAGCCUUAGCAGAAGGGAAGGAGCUGCAUUUGUGCAGGAGCUCUCUUACUGGCAGCAGUCACUUGUCAUGAUCCUGGAUUGCCUCAGGUGCUUGGAGCAGGCUGCUGAGAAGGCCACAUUUCUGUGUUCCACGUGCAGCUGGGCCAGUUGUUUCUUAGCGUUUGACUUGAUGAUCCUCGUGGUUCUGGAAAUAAAGAAUAAAUACUUUUCACUGGCUUUUUAA
This is a long non-coding RNA of Pyrgilauda ruficollis (rufous-necked snowfinch), 2925 nucleotides long. RefSeq lists it as uncharacterized. Lineage: Eukaryota; Metazoa; Chordata; Aves; Passeriformes; Passeridae. The record is from RefSeq and is a predicted model, not a curated record. The transcript is spliced from 7 exons.